This 1705-nucleotide long non-coding RNA is filed under the name Olea europaea subsp. europaea. Lineage: Eukaryota; Viridiplantae; Streptophyta; Magnoliopsida; Lamiales; Oleaceae. The record is from RNAcentral.
CUUCAUUAAACUAACAUUUCAUAAAUCUAAAUUGUUCCAUUAUGCAUCAUGUGUGUAGCAUUGCAUCAUCCACUCCUUGUGGCUCAUGUUUGCAUUAUUUUAUGGCAUUUUUUCAUUAUUUUAGUUUUUGCACGAUUUUAGUCACUUUUAUUUCGAUUUUUUUUUUCUUUUGGUGGUGUGCUUGUAUGUCCUAGGCUUCUUGUGAUUUAGGUUGGAUUCCUACAUUGUGGGGGUGGGUGUAGUGUUGAAUAGGUAAGGAAAUUUAGGUUUUCAUUGAUGCACGCCACGUGUUCGAUAGAAUGUCCUUUUCACCUUUUAAUUUUGCUUGCCCCACUUAUGCGUCUCCUUUACAUUUAUAUCUUUGAUCCAUAUUACUUGUUGGUUGCUUUUGGAUCUCAUUCCGAAAGACACACCUUACACAACAUUACUUACAUCUUGACGUCGUAUCACUCACGACUUGACGUCAAGCUACCUGUGCCUUGAUCCGUGUUAGCAUCUGUGUUGCCAUCAUCCUUUCAACCUCCGAUCACUACUUGACCUUAGUUAAUGUCACCAUAUAGUUUUGCAUUGUUUUGCGUGUUUUUGCACUUUGUUGCGUAGUUUUACAUGCCUUACACUGUUUUGCUUAUUUUUGCACUUUGUUGCAUAGUUCAUGCAUAUCAUGCUUAGAUGGUCUACAAGAGCUCUAGUAUUCUGGUUUCUAAUUUUGAUCAUUUGCAACUGUCUUGUAUGCCACAUGCCACCUAAGCGAGCUCGAACUUUUGCACAGACAUCUAGUGGAUCGACCUUCUACAAUAGGUCUAGGUUAAUCUCUUCCACUGCACACGAGGUCUUCAGGUCUCAGUUCUCCCUCCGUCCUGAUCUUUUCAAGCGUGAGGUAAUUCUCUCCGACCUCUCUCUCGACUUGGCUGCCAUCUUCACUUCUUGGAGGUGUGAAGCAUUGCUGAUAGACCUCUCUCCACUGUCUAGUCUCCUAGUCAGGAGUUCUAUGCGAAUAUGCAUAAGAUAGAUGGGUUGUUGUUUUGGCUUUUUCUUAGGGGUACGACUGUUAGGAUUUUACCUGAUAUCAUUUCUUGCACAUUGCAAGUUCCCCAUGUUGUUCAUCCCAUUUUCUCCCAACUUUCUGCUGAGACCCUUCUGCAUGACUAUCUGGUUUGGUCGACAUUGUUCAACUACCCUUUAGGGGGUGGUCCUACGGUGAUCCGCACAGUAUCUUUUCCCACUGAUUACCGAAUUCUGUUACGCAUUAUGUGCACGAAUCUUUAGCCAGUUUCACAUACUUCUUCCUUGCCUACGGAGAAGGCAAUGUUUUUGAAUGCUUUAUUACAUGUUGACUCGAUUAACUUGCCUACAUUUAUCUGUCAUCACAUUUUGCGCAUGUUUCUAUUCGAGUCCCAGGUCACAAAAUAGGUCUCUCUUAUGCCUGUUUGAUUCAUCAUCUUAUUACUUCUUUGGGGGUCACUUUUCCCGACGGGGUUUCAGGACGUGUCAGUCGACCUAUAGGUCAGGUUACUGUAUCUUAGAGUUGAUCACAUGUCCCUUCGUCCUAUUCUUCCACAGAGCCGGCAGAGCCUGCUGAUCAUUCUUCUGUUGGUCCUUCACAUAUUCUUGCUUCUACUUCUCAGCCCACUAUUCCUUCUGAUCUCUCAUCAUCUUCUACCUCGAUUUUAGCUCUUCCAGUUGAGUCCAUGCCCGGGACUUCCUC